This 253-nucleotide ribosomal RNA is filed under the name uncultured bacterium. RNAcentral's name for it is "partial 16S ribosomal RNA". It matches the Rfam family "Bacterial small subunit ribosomal RNA", at positions 524 to 776 of the family's 1533-position model. The record is from RNAcentral.
UACGAAGGGGGCUAGCGUUGUUCGGAAUUACUGGGCGUAAAGGGCGUGUAGGCGGCCCGUUAAGUCAGGUGUGAAAUUCCUGGGCUCAACCCAGGACGUGCGCCUGAGACUGGCGGGCUUGAGUCCGGGAGAGGAUGGUGGAACUCCCAGUGUAGAGGUGAAAUUCGUAGAUAUUAGGAAGAACACCGGUGGCGAAGGCGGCCCACUGGUCCGGUACUGACGCUGAGGUGCGAAAGCGUGGGGAGCAAACAGG